Vicugna pacos (alpaca) is the source of this 1401-nucleotide non-coding RNA. NCBI's taxonomy places the organism in Eukaryota, Metazoa, Chordata, Mammalia, Artiodactyla, Camelidae. The record is from RefSeq and is a predicted model, not a curated record.
UGUUCACAAGGUGAUCUCUGGACCGUGGCAUCGGCACUGCCUGGAUGCCUGUUAGAAAUCCAGAUCUCAUGAGCCUGAAGCUGCAGUUUAACAAGAUCCCUUGGGGACCAGUGUGCCCAUUAAAGUGUGAGGCGUGCUGCCCUGAAAUGAUGCCUGUAAAAUGCCAAGCACAGGGCUGGCCCGUAGCAAGACUUCAGUAGGUCUUAACUGCUGCGGUAGGCUGACUAAUGGUCCCCCAAAGAAGUCCACAGUCUUAAUUCCCAGAACCUGUGACCAUGUCGAUUUACAUGGUUCAAGGCGCAUUGCAGGUGUGAUUAGGCAUCUUGACAGACCUCGAGGUUAUCCAGGUGGGCCCAAUGAUGUGAUCGCAAGGGUCCUUCUAAGAGAAGGCAGGGGAAUCAGAGAAGAAAAAGAUGUGAUGGUGGAAGCCGAGGACGGCAGCGUAACGCACUUUGAAGAGGGAGGAAGGGGCUAAGUCUGUGGCUGGAAGCUGGAAAAGGCCCAGAAAUGGAUUCUCCCUGGAAGCCUCCAGGAGGCAUGGGGCUCUGCGGACACCUUGGUUUUAGACUUCUGACCUCCAGAACGGAAACUGUAUUUUUAAAACUCAGAGGCAACAAACAGCUGUUAUCCCUCAUAUUCUUCUGUAACUUCUGUUCUCUGAGGAAAUGAUCUGUCUCUUAAGACAGCUUACGACAGAGAGCAAGACAGAGUCCUCCCCUACAUGGACUCUUGAAAAGCAUCUUGCUGGUGGGAACUCUUCCUCCGCCGUAUGAAGAAGGCCAGGCUAGCUUGCUGAGGAGAUGGGGAUCCACCUAGAGGCAGCGCCAAGCAACAGACACGAUUUAAAAAAAAAACUUCGAUUUUCUGUGAUUUGAAAAUGAUACAUUAAGGUGACUUCCAGGCUCCAUACACAUGGAACCAGAAACCAGAAGCCCUCAGCAUCAUUUUAAAUGAUCCAUCAAACAAGCGAAAGUUUCAAGGAUGGAUAAAGCAAAGAGGAGACCCCCCAGAAACGUGUAAGCGCUCCAACUCACUGGGUCCAACACUGCUCUCUGGGUCCCUGACCCCCACUGUGUCUGCUCCCAGCCUCCGCUGGUGGGUGACAACCUCAUCUUUUCAGUUGCUCUGGCCGGAAACUUUGGAGACAGCCUUGAUUGACUCCCACUUUCUUUCAUAACCCACAUCAGUCUGUCAGGGCAUCCUGAUAACUCUGUUUUGAAAAUACAUCCAGAACCUGAUCACUGACAAUUGCCACCUCGCCACCGUCUCUCUUCUGUGUUGUUGUUGUUUAAUUGAAGGGUAGUCGAUUUACAAUGUUGUGCUAGUUUCUGGUGUACAGCAUCAUGAUUCAGUUACAUGUGUAUAUACAUACAUGUAUUCAUUUUCAUAUUCUUUUUCAUU